GAGAAGAACGCAGCGAAAUGCGAUAAGUAAUGUGAAUUGCAGAAUUCAGUGAAUCAUCGAAUCUUUGAACGCACCUUGCGCUCCUUGGUAUUCCGAGGAGCAUGCCUGUUUGAGUGUCAUUAAUAUAUCAACCUUCUCUUUUUUGAGUUGUUUGGAUGUGGGGGUUUGCCGGCCUCUUAAAUGAUUCAGCUCCCCUGAAAUGCAUUAGCAGAACAACCUGUUCAUUAGCGUGAUAAUUAUCUAUGCUAUUGAAUGUGAGGGCAGUUCAGCUUUCUAACCGUCCUUGGACAAUUCAUCAUUAAUGUGACCUCAAAUCAGGUAGGACUACCCGCUGAACUUAAGCAUAUCAAUAAGCGGAGGA
RNAcentral lists this unclassified non-coding RNA (361 nucleotides) under soil metagenome. RNAcentral's name for it is "partial contains 5.8S ribosomal RNA, internal transcribed spacer 2, and large subunit ribosomal RNA". The stretch from base 3 to 119 matches the Rfam family "5.8S ribosomal RNA", at positions 38 to 154 of the family's 154-position model. The record is from RNAcentral.